This 251-nucleotide unclassified non-coding RNA is filed under the name uncultured Leptospora. RNAcentral's name for it is "sequence contains ITS2". Lineage: Eukaryota; Fungi; Ascomycota; Lecanoromycetes; Micropeltidales; Micropeltidaceae. The record is from RNAcentral.
AACGCACAUUGCGCCCCUUGGUAUUCCAUGGGGCAUGCCUGUUCGAGCGUCAUUUGUACCCUCAAGCUAUGCUUGGUGUUGGGUGUUUGUCCUUGUAUUUAGUGCCAGGACUCGCCUUAAAGUAAUUGGCAGCCAGUGUUUUGGUAUAAAGCGCAGCACAUUUUGCGAUUUAAUACAAUAAUAUUAGCAACCAACAAGCUCAAUUUAACACUUUUGACCUCGGAUCAGGUAGGGAUACCCGCUGAACUUAA